RNAcentral lists this ribosomal RNA (253 nucleotides) under uncultured bacterium. RNAcentral's name for it is "partial 16S ribosomal RNA". It matches the Rfam family "Bacterial small subunit ribosomal RNA", at positions 524 to 776 of the family's 1533-position model. The record is from RNAcentral.
UACGAAGGGGGCUAGCGUUGCUCGGAAUCACUGGGCGUAAAGGGUGCGUAGGCGGGUCUUUAAGUCAGGGGGGAAAUCCUGGAGCUCAACUCCAGAACUGCCUUUGAUACUGAAGAUCUUGAGUUCGGGAGAGGUGAGUGGAACUGCGAGUGUAGAGGUGAAAUUCGUAGAUAUUCGCAAGAACACCAGUGGCGAAGGCGGCUCACUGGCUCAUUACUGACGCUCAGGCGCGACAGCCAGGGGAGCAAACGGG